AGCCGCGGCUGUAGGAGC
This 18-nucleotide microRNA is filed under the name Ictalurus punctatus (channel catfish). Its description in RNAcentral is "ipu-miR-7548". The record is from miRBase by way of RNAcentral. Lineage: Eukaryota; Metazoa; Chordata; Actinopteri; Siluriformes; Ictaluridae.